This is a long non-coding RNA of Ahaetulla prasina, 3060 nucleotides long. RefSeq lists it as uncharacterized. The transcript is spliced from 4 exons. The record is from RefSeq and is a predicted model, not a curated record. Lineage: Eukaryota; Metazoa; Chordata; Lepidosauria; Squamata; Colubridae.
CUUUGGUAAAAGAGGUAGUGAAUGACAAUAAUUUUCUGAAAUGCAAUUCUACUUCAAGGUCCCUGACACAUGAUAAACACAGUUUUAUCUGUCCUUGAUGUAUGUGUACAUGAAACAGUUUUAGGAAACCUGGAGCAUCAUGGGCAGAUCUAAGAUGUGCUCUUGACCGAUUGGAACCACGAGUUUCAGAGGAAUAUGGGGAAGCCCAGAGCAAGAAUUGUGCAAGAGUCUGGUCUGACAGAAGCCAACUAGUCCAUAGUUUCUCAACAAGCUUUGGGCAUCAAAAUCCUUUUAAAAAACAGGAAGAAUUGAAGGAAGAUUACUUUGAGUGAUAUGUCACUUUGCUUUUCUCUAUAUUUCUAUCUCUGUGGAUAGAACUGAACUUGUACUAUGCUAUAUGAUAAGGAGGAAUUACAGCAGGUAUACAGGUAUUUUAAUUUUCCAAUGUAAAUAUAUUUCAUUGGAAGCAAUUGCUUCUGCUCUUAACUAUUCUGGUAAAUGAUGAAUGUUGUUCUACAAAUACUGGGAUAACCUAAAAACUUUUAAGGAUCUAUAUCAUGUUAUGGUCUUUAGUUAAUACUGGUUUAAUUUUUGAUGGGUCAUUUAAAAUUUAAACUUCUGUCAUUUGUAAUAAUUUGUUUAUUAAGUAUAAAUCAUUGUCAAAAACAGGAUGUUGGCCAUGACAUCUUUCUGUUUUGUGUAUUAUUAUAAUAAUAAAUUUAUUUGCCGCAUUGCAACAUAAAUAAACAUGUACAGCUUUGGCUGAACCAGCAUAUUGACUUUCCCACUUUAUCCUGCAAAGACUCCUGUUUAGACACUAGUUUAUGCCAGCUUUCAUCUAUAAAAUAGAAUGCAAGUUAUAGGAAUAAAUGGAUCCUUUGCUCAAGUUGUUGUUUUAACCUGGGAACAAAUUUUAUUUACUUAUUUAUUGGAGAUAUGUCUCAUCUUUUUCUUAGUUUGAUGAUAGGAUAAAUGUGUUUAUCACCCGUUGGGAUUUUUUGCUUUUAUGUAAGGAUUUGGGAUUUUAGUCUGUUACCAUCCUUCAUUUUUAAAUAUAUAAUAAAAGAACUCACAUGCACUGCAGAAAUUGAAUUUCUAAAAUUAUACUUUAUUUCUCUGUCUUUUUCUCGCUCUCAGACACACACAUGUACACACACACAAGCACACAUAGAAAGGGCAGUGUUAGGUUAGAGUGGAAAUUUGACUUAGAAUCAAUUUUAUGCAGUCAGUGACUACAACUAAUAGUUAUCUAAAUGUGUACAUUUGUGUUCUUCAAAUAUUUUAAUUUCCAUUGUAGGGGCAUAUACAGAUUUAUCACUUUUUUUCUCAUUUGUUUGCAACUUGCCUAAAGAUUCUCUACAUACUACCUAGCAUCAUGCUUCUAUUCUAAACACUAUUCCCCUUUAAUAUGAGGGACUGAAGAGUUAUAACCGGUAGAUUUAUUCAGGAUAGCUGAAGCAAUUGGAACAAGGGUGUGUUGCGGUGAAAGUCUGACACUGAAAUGUAGACAGCAAUGAGAAACGUCUCAAGCUCAUUCCAUGCAAACCCUACCUGGCAAGAGGCCCAAUUGAUAUUCCCACCUCCCACUUCUUGCAUCACCUAUUGCUCUUUCUAGCCAAAGCCAAUUUUCCAAAUAUUAACACCUUGAAGGAGGAGGCAAGCCAAGCUGGUCAUUUUUUUAACUUAAGCUGGCAAGGUAGAAAGUUGGGUGUGGGAGGGAAUGAAAAACCAAGAUACCGUAUAUACUCGAAUAUAAGCCGAUCCGAGUAUAAGCCGAGGUCCCCAAUUUUACCCCAAAAACUGGGGUAAACUGGGGACUCGAGUAUAAGCCGAGGGUGGGAAAUGAGGCACCUACCGGUUGGGGAAACCCUCCCUCCCUCAGCUGAGAAGGCUGGCGGCUCCCCUGCCCCGCCCUCUCACUGCACCGGCAGGGCUUCCCCGCGCUAAUGCAAAAGCCCGCCAAGUUUGUGCCGGUAAAAUGUGAAAAAAACAAAAAAAAAACAAAAACUCGAGUAUAAGCCGUAUAUACUCGAGUAUAAGCCGAGGGGCUUAAAAAAAAACAACUCGAGUAUAAGCCGUAUAGACCCGAGUAUAAGCCGAGGGGACGUUUUUCAGCACAAAAAACGUGCUGAAAAACUCGGCUUAUACUCGAGUAUAUACGGUACUUUGGUUUUUGGAGUGGGAUAAGGAAUCCAGAAGAUGUGGGAUGUGGGAAGAGUUCCACCAAUAGAAAACUAAACCCCACAGCUCAAAACCAUAAUUGCAGCAAUUUUCUGAAUCAGCUUCCCAGCAGAUUAAUUUUGGAAGCUAAUCAGCUCAGAGUUACAAGACAAUAAAGUUAUAAACUGAACAUGUGCAGGUGUGCAGGUGUGCUUUAAGCUUCCAUCACGUUUCUGUUACAGUCAAAACUCAAUCUUUGCAAACUACAAAUUGGAGUGAGAUAGCACACUAGUGACAGAAGGUAAGUUUAUGUAUUUCUCAGGUACAAAAAAACAUUUGAAUAGCUUUUGCAACUGUUGACAUCAGGACCCUUUAGCAUUCCCAGAGCACCCAAGGUGGACAAAACUGUUGUUCCCCCCCCCAAGAUGUUUGAAAGAUUGAGGGGCCAAAUGGGUGCCUUAAACUUUCAUCCUUUAGUAAUACCGCCAAAUAGGAAGGGCAAAACAAUGCCUUAAUGCCUUUUCACACCUCUCUCAACCUCAACACACAGAAAAAAAUCCUGUUGAACACUUCAGUACCAUUCAGUCUGGACGGCUUCACCGGCCUUCCCUUUGCAAUUUGUCAAUCAAGACACAAAGUGCAACCUCCUAGUUCAUAAUUGACGAGAUAAAGAAACAACUGUUUUCUAUUUCCUUGAUAUUGUAAAAAUCACCAUUUUUGAAUAUUGGAAUUAUGUUCCUCCCACCGUAUUCCUUAUUGCAUGGGAAAAGCUCAAAAUCUUUAUAGAACAAGAUACCACCAAUGAUCAGCAUGCCAAUUAAUUAAAUGAGGUGACAGACCAAAACUAGCUUCUUUUCCACCUAGACAGCACUGUUGAACAGAACGGAAAAGAAAAAAGGA